RNAcentral lists this ribosomal RNA (222 nucleotides) under Clostridioides difficile. RNAcentral describes it as "partial 23S ribosomal RNA". It matches the Rfam family "Bacterial large subunit ribosomal RNA", at positions 420 to 644 of the family's 2925-position model. The record is from RNAcentral. Lineage: Bacteria; Bacillati; Bacillota; Clostridia; Peptostreptococcales; Peptostreptococcaceae.
GGACACGUGAAACCCUGUGGGAAGCAGGAGAGACCACCCUCCAAGGCUAAAUACUACCUAGUGACCGAUAGCGUAUAGUACCGUGAGGGAAAGGGGAAAAGAACCCCGGGAGGGGAGUGAAAUAGAACCUGAAACCCUGCACUUACAAGCUGUGGAAGCACAUUUCUUGUGUGACCGCGUACUUUUUGUAGAACGGGCCAACGAGUUACGUUAAGUAGCAAG